AUUGAACGCUGGCGGAAUGCUUUACACAUGCAAGUCGAACGGCAGCACGGGGGCAACCCUGGUGGCGAGUGGCGAACGGGUGAGUAAUACAUCGGAACGUGCCCAGUCGUGGGGGAUAACGUAGCGAAAGCUACGCUAAUACCGCAUACGAUCUACGGAUGAAAGCGGGGGACUCGCAAGGGCCUCGCGCGAUUGGAGCGGCCGAUGGCAGAUUAGGUAGUUGGUGGGGAAAGGCUCACCAAGCCAACGAUCUGUAGCUGGUCUGAGAGGACGACCAGCCACACUGGGACUGAGACACGGCCCAGACUCCUACGGGAGGCAGCAGUGGGGAAUUUUCCGCAAUGGGCGAAAGCCUGACGGAGCGACGCCGCGUGUGGGAAGAAGGCCUCGGUCGUAA
RNAcentral lists this ribosomal RNA (397 nucleotides) under uncultured bacterium. RNAcentral's name for it is "bacterial SSU rRNA". It matches the Rfam family "Bacterial small subunit ribosomal RNA", at positions 29 to 428 of the family's 1533-position model. The record is from RNAcentral.